RNAcentral lists this transfer RNA (66 nucleotides) under Saussurella borneensis. Its description in RNAcentral is "tRNA-Tyr". It matches the Rfam family "tRNA". From Rfam's summary of the family: Transfer RNA (tRNA) molecules are approximately 80 nucleotides in length. Their secondary structure includes four short double-helical elements and three loops (D, anti-codon, and T loops). Lineage: Eukaryota; Metazoa; Arthropoda; Insecta; Orthoptera; Tetrigidae. The record is from RNAcentral.
GAUAAAGUGGCUGAGGUUAGGCGGUUGGUUGUAAACCAUCUUACGGGAUUAAUUUCUUUUUUAUCA